CUACGGAGGGGACUAGCGUUGUUCGGAAUUACUGGGCGUAAAGAGUUCGUAGGCGGACUGAUAAGUAAGAGGUGAAAUCCCAGGGCUCAACCCUGGAACUGCCUUUUAAACUGUCAGUCUAGAGACCGGAAGAGGUUAGGGGAAUACCUAGUGUAGAGGUGAAAUUCGUAGAUAUUAGGUGGAACACCAGUGGCGAAGGCGCCUAACUGGUCCGGUACUGACGCUGAGGAACAAAAGCGUGGGGAGCAAACAGGAUUAGAAACCCUAGUAGUCC
This 274-nucleotide ribosomal RNA is filed under the name uncultured bacterium. RNAcentral describes it as "partial 16S ribosomal RNA". It matches the Rfam family "Bacterial small subunit ribosomal RNA", at positions 523 to 796 of the family's 1533-position model. The record is from RNAcentral.